This 1227-nucleotide long non-coding RNA is filed under the name Anas zonorhyncha (Eastern spot-billed duck). RNAcentral's name for it is "lncRNA (ENSAZOG00000003682.1)". Lineage: Eukaryota; Metazoa; Chordata; Aves; Anseriformes; Anatidae. The record is from RNAcentral.
AUGCAACGGGGACGUCCCGGGGCUGGGACCCCCCCCGUGGCCUCGUUAGCACCUUCGUUAACGGUGGCCGUGCCGCCAGCCCUUGGCACGGGGUGGCACCUUAUGGGAUGGGUCAGGGGACAGGGACUUGGGGACACGGGGAUGUCCCCAAGGGUGUCCCCAGGGGCGCCGCACGGUGACGGAGCUGCGGGAGCGGCAGAGCAGAGGAAGGAAUUUGGGGUGUCCCCCGUGUCCCGGUCCCCCAUGUCCCUCCCAGUCCACUGCCGUGUCCAGUGUCCCUGUCCCCAUCCAUCCCAUGUCCCCCCAGUGCACCUCCUUGUCCCUGUCCCCCAUCCUUUCCCACAUCCCCGUGCCCCGUGUCGCUCCCCAUCCAUCCCCAUGUCCCCCGUGUCCCCCCCAAUCCUCCCCCUUGUCCCUGUCCCCACGUCCNNNNNNNNNNNNNNNNNNNNNNNNNNNNNNCCCCACGCCCCUCCCAACCCCUCCCUGCACCCCCACGUCCCCCCCACGUGCCCCAUGUCCCCGUGGCCCCGUCCCCACACUGCUGACCACGCAGGAAACGCCCUUUGUGCAGCCCCAGCGAGGCCACGGCCGUGGGGAGAUAAGGAAUUCCUGCUGCCCGCCCCAACAACACCGGGGGGGGGUGGCCUUGGGGACGAGGAACCGUGCAUGGGGACGACGGAGCCGUGGGGCGCCGCGUGGGUUCCCCCUUCCCGGAAGGGACAAGGGGACGCAACCCCGUGGUGGCCCUGCUUGGGGACAGGGCCACGUGGUUUCCGCGGUCCCGGCGCAAUUCUUAUAAAGCCAGCAGGGUUUUUGCUGUGGGAUGCAGAAGUGAAACCCCGGGAGCUGGCCCCGGACUUUCCUCCGUCGCCAGCGCCAAGACAAACCCCAGGGGACACGGGGGUGACAGUGCCAGCGGCGUGGGCUGCGCUUUGUCCCCAGGUCAGCGUUGGGUAUGGCUUGGAGGCGUUUCUCAACCUGAGGCUUUUGUCCCCAAAGGAAAACUUUGGAAAGCCAACGGCCCCCGCCGUGCCAAAAGCCGGGGCGGCCGCAUCCUGGCUCCCCAGUGCCGAUGGGGUCUGGCCGCCCUCCCGGCUCCUCGUGGUGAGAAAAAGGCUUCGCUUCCACAAAAACACGAAGAGAAAAAAAGGAAGAGGAGUGCGCGGGAGGGAGAGUUUCACUGCUUCUCCUCAUGCAUUUGGGAUGAGGUCACUGUUCCGAUACUGA